Molecule: ribosomal RNA, 253 nt
Filed under: uncultured bacterium
Lineage: Bacteria
Description: partial 16S ribosomal RNA
Rfam family: Bacterial small subunit ribosomal RNA
Source: RNAcentral
GACGAAGGAUGCAAGCGUUAUCCGGAUUCAUUGGGUUUAAAGGGAGCGUAGGUGGCCUUAUAAGUCAGUGGUGAAAUCUCUCGGCUUAACUGAGAAAUUGCCAUUGAUACUGUAGGGCUUGAGUAUAGUUGCCGUUGGCGGAAUAUGACAUGUAGUGGUGAAAUACAUAGAGAUGUCAUAGAACACCGAUUGCGAAGGCAGCUGACGAAACUAUAACUGACACUGAGGCUCGAAAGUGUGGGGAUCAAACAGG